CCUACACAGACAGUGGACAUUGUAAAAGUUGUAGGUUGGACAAAAACCAUGAAAGGAGACUACAGCAUGAGAGACAGGUGCGACAGAGGAUACAAGUGUAUGAAAAAUGGCCUCGAAGUUAGCACACCUGGAUAUUACUUGCAAGUGCUUGGGGACAUUUCUGGACGCCUGCAGCUCAUUAAAAUUGCUCAGCGAUGGAAGAGCGUGCAGGCAUGCUGGGAUUUUCUGGCCAGUGACGGCUAUUCUACGGGAGGGGAAUGAGCACUGUGGACGCCGCCUGAGGGCCAACCACCACUAGACUGUAAGUGCUGCAGUUGCCUGGUCCCCAUGUAGCACUAAUCACAACACUCGUCUCUUUCCAUUUGUUCUCCAUCAGCGGCCUGAAACAAUCCACUGCUUUAGCUCCAUCCACACUCCAUCCUCUUCUCUUCUAGUUGGCUGUUUCUUUACCUUCUCAGCUCAGGACUCUUCCUCCUCUAGUUUUCAUAUUUUCCCUGGCUUAUCAUUUUUUUUUUUUUUACUUUGUACUGUACUUGUAAUGAUGCAGGUAAUUGUUCCACCUAAUUUUGGUCCCUUUCACCCUUUCACCCUGAGUCAUAGCACACACACACACACACACACACAUACCCAGACACAGUUUAUGCCCUAAUCGUCGCAUCUUACCUGGAACCAGUCACUCAGAAAUGACUUUCUGCUUCAUUAGGCUCAGGCUUUGGUCCUCAU
Molecule: long non-coding RNA, 723 nt
Organism: Solea solea (common sole)
Lineage: Eukaryota; Metazoa; Chordata; Actinopteri; Pleuronectiformes; Soleidae
Exons: 3
Source: RefSeq, a predicted model, not a curated record